GAAAUUAUUACUUUACACAAACCUGAAAUUUCAGCAUGGAUUGUUGUGUGUUAGGUAUCUAGAAACAUAAUAAUCCCACUUUGAAUAAAACACAUCUGAAGAGCUGCUCCACUUGUGUAAGUGCCCUUACUCUGCAAGUUGCUGAUAUAUCUUCCCUUUUUAGCUUUCAAUUGUCUUCUGGCAUUAGAAUGAAGAAAUUGGAAUCAGAGCAGCUGAAGGAAAGCCUUUUCUGCAGCCUGGUAAACACCCAGGAAUGGCUUAAGAGAAGCUCCACCAGUACAGGUCUCAGCACAGAGUAAGGGUCUGUAUCAAGGUCCAUUGUAGAGACCCCAGAAGUGACCUGCUCCUUGGAAUGGUUCUUGGCAGUGACAGCACUUGUGUAUGACUGAAGAAGAAAACUGAUCCAGAUGAAUGCACUUGCAACAUGCACUGCAGAAUCAGCUGAAUCCUUUCUAGGAGUAGUGCUUGGUGCUUAUUUUUCCUCUGGUGCUUCAGAACACUGUGGUGCAGCAGAGCUAAGAUGGAAGCAUGGAAGUGAGACCAAAGGCAAUGCUGACCAGCAUCUGAGACUACGGCAGAGAAGGAUAUACAGACAUGAAAAUGAAGUAUUUGUGCCAAGACUUGGAAAAGAGUUAAAAAUCUGAUGAAUUUGGCUGCUUUCAAUGGCUCAGAUUGAGACACCACCCCUCCUCCACCCACACCCUUAGGACAGUGAGAUGGGAGAUGUUUGGCUGCCACUGCUCCAAGCACACUGAAAAGCACUUGGGCCUCUGUACAAGACAUAAAGAUGGACACUGCUGAACUAUUCUGCUGAAGUCUGGUCCUGUCACCCCAUCAAAGUCUUUAAGGCCACGUAUAGAUUGCUAUAGGAAUUCCUAAGCUUUAUGUGUAAAAUUGGAACUGAAUUUACCAAAGUGGGAAUAUAUUUUAUCUACAGUAAUAGGUUAUAUAAUAAAGGUUGUCAUACAUAACCUCCUUUUGCUUUACACCUUUUUUUUUUUUUGAUCCUAAUUACUGUAACUCAUUUCUGCCAUGUUCUGUCAUCUGGUGUAAAACAACAUAAUCACUGCCUUCCCUUCUUUCUCUUUUAUCAGCUUCCAGCUUGUCAGACAUGAAAAAAAAUAUUUAGUGUAAACGUAUGCAUUCCUUUUGGAUGAAACAUACAGGAGCUAAACCAAAAUUCUAUGAUGAUGAUCUGUUCCUGUGU
Molecule: non-coding RNA, 1207 nt
Organism: Pseudopodoces humilis (Tibetan ground-tit)
Lineage: Eukaryota; Metazoa; Chordata; Aves; Passeriformes; Paridae
Source: RefSeq, a predicted model, not a curated record